UACGGAGGAUGCAAGCGUUAUCCGGAAUGACUGGGCGUAAAGCGUCCGCAGGCGGCAAUGUAAGUCUGCUGUCAAAGCGUCUGGCUCAACCAGAUAAAGGCAGUGGAAACUACAUAGCUAGAGUAAGGUAGGGGUAGAGGGAAUUCCUGGUGUAGCGGUGAAAUGCGUAGAGAUCAGGAAGAACACCGGUGGCGAAAGCGCUCUGCUGGACCUUAACUGACACUGAGGGACGAAAGCUAGGGGAGCGAAUGGG
This 253-nucleotide ribosomal RNA is filed under the name uncultured bacterium. Its description in RNAcentral is "partial 16S ribosomal RNA". It matches the Rfam family "Bacterial small subunit ribosomal RNA", at positions 524 to 776 of the family's 1533-position model. The record is from RNAcentral.